This 1284-nucleotide long non-coding RNA is filed under the name Manacus vitellinus (golden-collared manakin). RNAcentral's name for it is "lncRNA (ENSMVIG00005002789.1)". Lineage: Eukaryota; Metazoa; Chordata; Aves; Passeriformes; Pipridae. The record is from RNAcentral.
GAUGUCGAGUGCCACCAUGUCCCCGAGGUCACCCUUUCUGCUGUUGGGAGAGCAUGAGGUGGAUGGAGAGGAUCCCCAGCCAUCUGCAGGCAAAAGGGACUGGCACAACUGCGAUUUUUCUCCAGCUCUCUCAAGGUGGACUUUCAGGGUACCAUGGGUAAUGUGCCAGCUCUCCUGCUGGAGUGUUUGUCUUCUGCUAUAUUUGAACAUCAAGAGUAAAACUAAAGUCAGGGAAUAACUCCUGUCAGCAGCAAGGUCCCGACUGAAGUGGCAGCUGCAGUUGUUCCUGUGGUGUGGGCCAGUGGAGUUCCAGGAGAGUGGAAGAGGGCAGAACCUGUAGGUAUUACCCCUGAUGUGGGAUCUAUAUGGGUAAGGCAAACCCAGUAUCCUUUAAAAUCAGAAUUCCAGCUUGGAUUGGUUGCAGUAACAACUAAAUUGGCUCAUCCUGGUUUGCUUGUAGGAUGUGAAUGCAAGAACCUGCCAAGGAACCAAUGGCCAAGAUGAUUGAUGAGUGCAGGACCUGAGAGAACCACCUUGAAUGACAACCUUAGGUUUAAAAGAUGGCUGUUGCUUUUGAAGGAGAAAAUCUGGAAAGCAGGAAGGAAGAAAAGAAGUCACCUGACUCUUCCCUGAGCCCCAGACAGCCCAUGAACUGCCUUCCUGGGAAUGGUAGGACGGGGUGGACUCUGGAUUGCUCCCUCUGGAUGUGUGGCUCUCCCCUCAGGAACUCCAGGAACUCCUGGUGCCGCCUGGGCCGAUGGAUUGGACGCCCCAGCCCCUCCGUUCCUGCCCAGCCACUGGGUCCGUGUCCAGUGGUGGCACUGCCAGCCCUGCAGUGGGAUGUAGCCUGGAAACUGCACAGAACUGAGCCAAGGAAUUUAAAGGGACCAACCAAGGGAGGUGAAGAAAGAAGGAAGAAGGGAAGUGAGGCAGCAGCCAAGCAGCACCAAGUGCCUGUGUAAGCAGGUGAGUUGUGUUGAGGUUCCUAAGGCAGGCACUGAGGACUUUGAGGGCUCCAGACAGAGCAGAGCUGCGAAGGCCCUCGGUGAAGUCCCUUGGAAACCUUCUAAGGGUAGGUGUGUAUGGUAGUAAGUGUUGGAUAAUGCCCUGAAUGUGGAACAGGAAUGCAGAGAACAAAAAUGAAUCCUCCUGUCAUGCUGCCAUAUCAGCUGCAGUGGAGAUAGCUCUGUGUGCCCUUUGGGAGCUGAUUGCCAGGACACCUGGUGGGGUGGAAUGAUUCAAGAGCACAGGAAUAAAAGGUUGCCUGGCUUCUAAACCUCUCCA